RNAcentral lists this ribosomal RNA (435 nucleotides) under uncultured bacterium. RNAcentral describes it as "partial 16S ribosomal RNA". It matches the Rfam family "Bacterial small subunit ribosomal RNA", at positions 28 to 507 of the family's 1533-position model. The record is from RNAcentral.
GAUGAACGCUGGCGGUAUGCUUAACACAUGCAAGUCGAACGGACGCUUCGGAGUUAGUGGCGGACGGGUGAGUAAAGCGUGGGAAAAUGGCUUUGGGUUCGGGACAACCACUGGAAACGGUGGCUAAUACCGGAUGUGCCGAGAGGUAAAAGAGAAAUUGCCUGAAGAUGAGCUCGCGUCUGAUUAGCUAGUUGGUGAGGUAAAGGCUCACCAAGGCAGCGAUCAGUAGCUGGGCUGAGAGGAUGACCGGCCAAGCUGCGUCUGGGACGCGGCACAGACUCCUUCUGGAGGCUGCAGUGAGGCAUUUUCCGCCAAUGGCGAGUGCCUGACGAAGCACUUCCGCGUGUGGGACGCUUGCUCUUGGGUUGUAAACCUCUUUUCUUAGGGCAGAACUAGAUGACGGUACCGAAAGAAUCAGCACCGGCUAACUCCGUG